AGUGAACGCUGGCGGUAGGCCUAACACAUGCAAGUCGAACGGCAGCACAGGAGAGCUUGCUCUAUGGGUGGCGAGUGGAGGACGGGUGAGGAAUACAUCGGAAUCUACUCUGUCGUGGGGGAUAACGUAGGGAAACUUACGCUAAUACCGCAUAAGACCUACGGGUGAAAGCAGGGGAUCUUCGGACCUUGCGCGAUUGAAUGAGCCGAUGUCGGAUUAGCUAGUUGGCGGGGUAAAGGCCCACCAAGGCGACGAUCCGUAGCUGGUCUGAGAGGAUGAUCAGCCACACUGGAACUGAGACACGGUCCAGACUCCUACGGGAGGCAGCAGUGGGGAAUAUUGGACAAUGGGCGCAAGCCUGAUCCAGCCAUACCGCGUGGGUGAAGAAGGCCUUCGGGUUGUAAAGCCCUUUUGUUGGGAAAGAAAUCCAGCUGGCUAAUACCCGGUUGGGAUGACGGUACCCAAAGAAUAAGCACCGGCUAACUUCGUGCCAGCCGCCGCCGUAA
Molecule: ribosomal RNA, 506 nt
Filed under: uncultured bacterium
Lineage: Bacteria
Description: partial 16S ribosomal RNA
Rfam family: Bacterial small subunit ribosomal RNA
Source: RNAcentral